Antechinus flavipes (yellow-footed antechinus) is the source of this 617-nucleotide RNA transcript. It is a transcript of the gene named mitochondrial sheath formation associated, with no coding region annotated. The record is from RefSeq and is a predicted model, not a curated record. Lineage: Eukaryota; Metazoa; Chordata; Mammalia; Dasyuromorphia; Dasyuridae. The transcript is spliced from 4 exons.
GGCCCUUGCACAUGUGAGCUAGAGGGGCCUUUGGUGGCCUGCAGGGACUGAAACUGACAUGUGAGAUCUCCAACAAGUGAGGAUUUGAUGAGGACAGUUCAGGAACGAGGUCUUGGUGAAUAAUCUCUGUCUGCACCCCAGUAUUUGGAGUGCAAAAGCUCCAACAGAUAACUACUGUAUCAUGAUUGUACUUGGCUGGAUACUUUUUGUCGGACUUGCAUGUUAUCUGGGGGCAUUUCCUGAAGUAAUGCGUCCAACACUAAAAUGGAUAGAGAGACAGCCUGUCCAGCCUAUUUGUGAGCGCAAACAUCGACUAAGAAGUGUGAUUUUUGAUGAAAAUAAGAACAUACCCAGGUGGAAAUAGGCAGAGAAGAUCCUGGUGAACCAAUGCAACUCUGAAGCUAAACCUGGCCAGCUGUAUGGUUCCUCCUGUUGGUUUCGCAUAAAGCAAUUGCAAUGGGAAGACUAAAAGGAAGUGUGGGGAAUCAAAGAAUGUACACAGAAAGUUCUGUUCAAAGAAAUGAAUAUAAUGAUGACUAAGAACCCUUAAAGGACUCCUCCUGGACCCCCGACCCUCCCAACCCCUUCUAGGACAAUAAAGGUCAAUGGAGAAUGUG